UACGUAGGGUGCGAGCGUUGUCCGGAAUUACUGGGCGUAAAGAGCUCGUAGGUGGUUUGUCGCGUUGUUCGUGAAAUCUCACGGCCUAACUGUGAGCGUGCGGGCGAUACGGGCAGACUUGAGUACUGCAGGGGGAGACUGGAAUUCCUGGUGUAGCGGUGGAAUGCGCAGAUAUCAGGAGGAACACCGGUGGCGAAGGCGGGGUCUCUGGGCCGCAACUGACGCUGAGGAGCGAAAGCGUGGGGGAGCAAACAGG
Molecule: ribosomal RNA, 256 nt
Filed under: uncultured bacterium
Lineage: Bacteria
Description: partial 16S ribosomal RNA
Rfam family: Bacterial small subunit ribosomal RNA
Source: RNAcentral